Molecule: non-coding RNA, 110 nt
Organism: Flavobacterium fryxellicola
Lineage: Bacteria; Pseudomonadati; Bacteroidota; Flavobacteriia; Flavobacteriales; Flavobacteriaceae
Source: Rfam
UCCUAGCCCUGAUAGCAGUGAAAAUCCUUUUUAAUAGUUUAGGCUGGAAGCCUUUCGAAGGCUUCCAGCCUAAACUAUUAAAAAGAUUGCAACGCAUAGCAGGAAACAGC